UGCAGUCGAGCGGAUGAGAAGAGCUUGCUCUUCGAUUCAGCGGCGGACGGGUGAGUAAUGCCUAGGAAUCUGCCUGGUAGUGGGGGACAACGUUUCGAAAGGAACGCUAAUACCGCAUACGUCCUACGGGAGAAAGCAGGGGACCUUCGGGCCUUGCGCUAUCAGAUGAGCCUAGGUCGGAUUAGCUAGUUGGUGAGGUAAUGGCUCACCAAGGCGACGAUCCGUAACUGGUCUGAGAGGAUGAUCAGUCACACUGGAACUGAGACACGGUCCAGACUCCUACGGGAGGCAGCAGUGGGGAAUAUUGGACAAUGGGCGAAAGCCUGAUCCAGCCAUGCCGCGUGUGUGAAGAAGGUCUUCGGAUUGUAAAGCACUUUAAGUUGGGAGGAAGGGCAUUAACCUAAUACGUUAGUGUUUUGACGUUACCGACAGAAUAAGCACCGGCUAACUCUGUGCCAGCAGCCGCGGUAAUACAGAGGGUGCAAGCGUUAAUCGGAAUUACUGGGCGUAAAGCGCGCGUAGGUGGUUUGUUAAGUUGGAUGUGAAAGCCCCGGGCUCAACCUGGGAACUGCAUCCAAAACUGGCAAGCUAGAGUACGGUAGAGGGUGGUGGAAUUUCCUGUGUAGCGGUGAAAUGCGUAGAUAUAGGAAGGAACACCAGUGGCGAAGGCGACCACCUGGACUGAUACUGACACUGAGGUGCGAAAGCGUGGGGAGCAAACAGGAUUAGAUACCCUGGUAGUCCACGCCGUAAACGAUGUCAACUAGCCGUUGGAAUCCUUGAGAUUUUAGUGGCGCAGCUAACGCAUUAAGUUGACCGCCUGGGGAGUACGGCCGCAAGGUUAAAACUCAAAUGAAUUGACGGGGGCCCGCACAAGCGGAGGAGCAUGUGGUUUAAUUCGAAGCAAC
Molecule: ribosomal RNA, 908 nt
Filed under: Pseudomonas putida
Lineage: Bacteria; Pseudomonadati; Pseudomonadota; Gammaproteobacteria; Pseudomonadales; Pseudomonadaceae
Description: bacterial SSU rRNA
Rfam family: Bacterial small subunit ribosomal RNA
Source: RNAcentral